CCUACGGGGGGCAGCAGUAGGGAAUCUUCCACAAUGGGCGAAAGCCUGAUGGAGCAACGCCGCGUGGGUGAAGAAGGUCUUCGGAUCGUAAAACCCUGUUGUUAGAGAAGAAAGUGCGGGAGAGUAACUGUUCACGUGUCGACGGUAUCUAACCAGAAAGCCACGGCUAACGACGUGCAAGCAGCCGCGGUAAUACGUAGGUGGCAAGCGUUAUCCGGAUUUAGUGGGCGUAAAGGGAACGAAGGCGGUCUUUUAAGUCUGAGGUGAAAGCCUUCGGCUUAACCGGAGUAGUGCAUUGGAAACUGGGAGACUUGCGUGCAGCAGAGGUGAGUGGAACUCCCUGUGUAGCUGUGACCUGCUUAGCUAUCUGGC
Molecule: ribosomal RNA, 372 nt
Filed under: uncultured bacterium
Lineage: Bacteria
Description: partial 16S ribosomal RNA
Rfam family: Bacterial small subunit ribosomal RNA
Source: RNAcentral